ACUACGGGAGGCAGCAGUGAGGAAUAUUGGUCAAUGGACGAGAGUCUGAACCAGCUAAUUGUCGUGAAGGAUGACUGCCCUAUGGGUUGUAAACUUCUUUUAUAUGGGAAUAAAAUGUUCCACGUGUGGGAUUUUGUAUGUAUCAUAUGAAUAAGGAUCGGCUAACUCCGUGCCAGCAGCCGCGGUAAUACGGAGGAUUCGAGCGUUAUCCGGAUUUAUUGGGGUUAAGGGGUGCGUAGGUGGAUUGUUAAGUCAGUUGUGAAAGUUUGCGGCUCAACCGUAAAAUUGCAGUUGAAACUGGCAGUCUUGAGUACAGUAGAGGUAGGCGGAAUUCGUGGUGUAGCGGUGAAAUGCUUAGAUAUCACGAAGAACACCGAUUGCGAAGGCAGUUCACUGGACUGCAACUGACGCUGAGGCUCGAAAGUGUGGGUAUCGAACAGGAUUAGAUACCCGUGUAGUC
RNAcentral lists this ribosomal RNA (460 nucleotides) under uncultured bacterium. RNAcentral's name for it is "partial 16S ribosomal RNA". It matches the Rfam family "Bacterial small subunit ribosomal RNA", at positions 338 to 795 of the family's 1533-position model. The record is from RNAcentral.